Molecule: small nuclear RNA, 62 nt
Filed under: Trichobilharzia regenti
Lineage: Eukaryota; Metazoa; Platyhelminthes; Trematoda; Strigeidida; Schistosomatidae
Source: RNAcentral
GUACUUGCUUCGGUGGUACAUAUACUAAAAUUGGAACGAUACAGAGAAGAUUAGCAUGGUCC